Molecule: non-coding RNA, 45 nt
Organism: Schistosoma curassoni
Lineage: Eukaryota; Metazoa; Platyhelminthes; Trematoda; Strigeidida; Schistosomatidae
Source: Rfam
AUCCAGCUAACGAGUCCCAAAUAGGACAAAACACGCGUCCUGGAU